AGAGUUUGAUCAUGGCUCAGGACGAACGCUGGCGGCGUGCUUAACACAUGCAAGUCGAACGGUGAAGCCCAGCUUGCUGGGUGGAUCAGUGGCGAACGGGUGAGUAACACGUGAGCAACCUGCCCUCCACUUCGGGAUAAGCCUUGGAAACGGGGUCCAAUACCGGAUAUGAGCACUCACUGCAUGGUGGGUGUUGGAAAGUUUUUCGGUGGGGGAUGGGCUCGCGGCCUAUCAGCUUGUUGGUGGGGUAAUGGCCUACCAAGGCGUCGACGGGUAGCCGGCCUGAGAGGGCGACCGGCCACACUGGGACUGAGACACGGCCCAGACUCCUACGGGAGGCAGCAGUGGGGAAUAUUGCACAAUGGGCGAAAGCCUGAUGCAGCGACGCCGCGUGAGGGAUGACGGCCUUCGGGUUGUAAACCUCUUUCAGCAGGGAAGAAGCGAAAGUGACGGUACCUGCAGAAGAAGCGCCGGCUAACUACGUGCCAGCAGCCGCGGUAAUACGUAGGGCGCAAGCGUUGUCCGGAAUUAUUGGGCGUAAAGAGCUCGUAGGCGGCUUGUCGCGUCGGUUGUGAAAGCCCGGGGCUUAACCCCGGGUCUGCAGUCGAUACGGGCAGGCUAGAGUUCGGUAGGGGAGAUCGGAAUUCCUGGUGUAGCGGUGAAAUGCGCAGAUAUCAGGAGGAACACCGGUGGCGAAGGCGGAUCUCUGGGCCGAUACUGACGCUGAGGAGCGAAAGCGUGGGGAGCGAACAGGAUUAGAUACCCUGGUAGUCCACGCCGUAAACGGUGGGCACUAGGUGUGGGCAACAUUCCACGUUGUCCGUGCCGCAGCUAACGCAUUAAGUGCCCCGCCUGGGGAGUACGGCCGCAAGGCUAAAACUCAAAGGAAUUGACGG
RNAcentral lists this ribosomal RNA (896 nucleotides) under uncultured bacterium. Its description in RNAcentral is "bacterial SSU rRNA". It matches the Rfam family "Bacterial small subunit ribosomal RNA", at positions 8 to 916 of the family's 1533-position model. The record is from RNAcentral.